This 700-nucleotide ribosomal RNA is filed under the name uncultured Roseateles sp. RNAcentral's name for it is "bacterial SSU rRNA". It matches the Rfam family "Bacterial small subunit ribosomal RNA", at positions 61 to 763 of the family's 1533-position model. The record is from RNAcentral. Lineage: Bacteria; Pseudomonadati; Pseudomonadota; Betaproteobacteria; Burkholderiales; Sphaerotilaceae.
GUCGAACGGUAACAGGUUAAGCUGACGAGUGGCGAACGGGUGAGUAAUAUAUCGGAACGUGCCCAGUCGUGGGGGAUAACUGCUCGAAAGAGCAGCUAAUACCGCAUACGACCUGAGGGUGAAAGCGGGGGAUCGCAAGACCUCGCGCGAUUGGAGCGGCCGAUAUCAGAUUAGGUAGUUGGUGGGGUAAAGGCCCACCAAGCCAACGAUCUGUAGCUGGUCUGAGAGGACGACCAGCCACACUGGGACUGAGACACGGCCCAGACUCCUACGGGAGGCAGCAGUGGGGAAUUUUGGACAAUGGGCGCAAGCCUGAUCCAGCCAUGCCGCGUGCGGGAAGAAGGCCUUCGGGUUGUAAACCGCUUUUGUCAGGGAAGAAAAGGUUCUGGUUAAUACCUGGGACUCAUGACGGUACCUGAAGAAUAAGCACCGGCUAACUACGUGCCAGCAGCCGCGGUAAUACGUAGGGUGCAAGCGUUAAUCGGAAUUACUGGGCGUAAAGCGUGCGCAGGCGGUUAUGCAAGACAGAGGUGAAAUCCCCGGGCUCAACCUGGGAACUGCCUUUGUGACUGCAUGGCUAGAGUACGGUAGAGGGGGAUGGAAUUCCGCGUGUAGCAGUGAAAUGCGUAGAUAUGCGGAGGAACACUGAUGGCGAAGGCAAUCCCCUGGACCUGUACUGACGCUCAUGCACGAAAGCGUG